GACGAACGCUGGCGGCGUGCUUAACACAUGCAAGUCGAACGGAAAGGCCCUGCUUUUGUGGGGUGCUCGAGUGGCGAACGGGUGAGUAACACGUGAGUAACCUGCCCUUGACUUUGGGAUAACUUCAGGAAACUGGGGCUAAUACCGGAUAGGAGCUCCUGCUGCAUGGUGGGGGUUGGAAAGUUUCGGCGGUUGGGGAUGGACUCGCGGCUUAUCAGCUUGUUGGUGGGGUAGUGGCUUACCAAGGCUUUGACGGGUAGCCGGCCUGCGAGGGUGACCGGCCAAAUUGGGACUGAGCUACGGCCCAGACUACUACGGGAGGGAGCAGUGGGGAAUAUUGCACAAUGGGCGGAAGCCUGAUGCAGCAACGCCGCGUGCGGGAUGACGGCCUUCGGGUUGUAAACCGCUUUCGCCUGUGACGAAGCGUGAGUGACGGUAAUGGGUAAAGAAGCACCGGCUAACUACGUG
RNAcentral lists this ribosomal RNA (468 nucleotides) under uncultured bacterium. Its description in RNAcentral is "partial 16S ribosomal RNA". It matches the Rfam family "Bacterial small subunit ribosomal RNA", at positions 28 to 507 of the family's 1533-position model. The record is from RNAcentral.